Molecule: ribosomal RNA, 459 nt
Filed under: uncultured bacterium
Lineage: Bacteria
Description: partial 16S ribosomal RNA
Rfam family: Bacterial small subunit ribosomal RNA
Source: RNAcentral
CCUACGGGGCGCAGCAGUGAGGAAUAUUGGUCAAUGGUCGGGAGACUGAACCAGCCAAGCCGCGUGAGGGAGGAAGGUACAGAGUAUCGUAAACCUCUUUUGUCAGGGAACAAAGGCGGGGACGUGUCCCCGGAUGAGUGUACCUGAAGAAAAAGCAUCGGCUAACUCCGGGCCAGCAGCCGCGGUAAUACGGAGGAUGCGAGGGUUAUCCGGAUUUAUUGGGUUUAAGGGGUGCGCAGGCGGUCUGUUAGGUCAGCGGGAAAAGCCGGGGGCUCAACCCCGGCCCGCCGUUGAAACUGGCAGUCUCGAGUUGGAGAGAGGUAUGCGGAAUGCGCGGUGUAGCGGUGAAAUGCAUAGAUAUCGCGCAGAACUCCGAUUGCGAAGGCAGCAUGCCGGCUCCACACUGACGCUGAGGCACGAAAGCGUGGGUAUCGAACAGGAUUAGAUACCCCAGUAGUC